CUGAGAAACCCAAAAGAUCGAAUGGGGAGAUUCAUCGUCAGCGUGGCUGGCUUCCGUGCGGUUCGCGAUGGCCGGGAUCUCGGUCUCGCGUCACGCGUCCGCUGCGGUAUGUCCGGCUACGUCGGCGUGCACUUCUCCCCUAGUAGGACGUCGCGACCCGUUGGGUGUCGGACCGAUGGCCGUUUGGUCGCCUGUCUCGUCGCGUUCACGCGUGCACGAGGCAGACCGAAAUGGUCGAGCGUCCGGCUGCCCGGCGGUAUAGAACGCUAUUGAACGGUAAUGAGCCGCAUUAAGUGCGUUCAGGCUCGUCGGCAGGCUCGUCUCGCCCGGAUUUACGGACCUAGCGCCGUUGCCGGGUGCUUGGCGUGGCUGUUAGUCGACGAUGUCCUCGGACUGGCUCUAAAAUUCGAAAGGAUUACCGGUCGGCGACGCUACUGCUUUGGGUACUUUCAGGACCCGUCUUGAAACACG
This 471-nucleotide ribosomal RNA is filed under the name Proacrias sp. Its description in RNAcentral is "partial large subunit ribosomal RNA". Lineage: Eukaryota; Metazoa; Arthropoda; Insecta; Hymenoptera; Eulophidae. The record is from RNAcentral.